Molecule: long non-coding RNA, 1889 nt
Organism: Camponotus floridanus (Florida carpenter ant)
Lineage: Eukaryota; Metazoa; Arthropoda; Insecta; Hymenoptera; Formicidae
Exons: 3
Source: RefSeq, a predicted model, not a curated record
UCUAAUGUAGCCCCAGAAAUAAAAUUCUAGGGGCGUCAAGUCGGGUGAUCUUGGGGGCCAUUCUUGAACUCAGCCCAUACCAAUCCACCUAUUCGGGAAUCUAUUGUUUAAAUAUUGUGUAACGGCUCGAGAUCUUUGAGCUGGUGCUCCAUCUUAUUGGAAUCACAUUCGUCUGAGUAAAUCAUUGUCGACAUGUCUCAAGAGGUUGGGCAGGUCAUCUUGAAGAAAUCUUAGAUAGAUUGCCGCAUUGAGAUUUUCUUCAAAAAAAUAUGAACCAACAAUAACAUCUCCCAGGAUGCCUGCCCAAACAUUAAUGGACCACUGCCGUUGGAACUCUUGGCUUCUCUGCCAAUGUGGCUUAGCAUCUGAAUAAUAAUGGCAGUUAUGUCUAUUAACGCCUCCUCUAUUACAAACGUGGCUUCAUCAGAAAAAAGCGUUUCAGCAAUGAACCGGGGAUUUUGUUGGAUGGUAUGGGAAUAAGUUUCCGCCCUCUUGAAAAAGGUAUCACUGAUGAUACUAUCUUUGUGUUCGCUCAAGUACUAUACUUGUGAUUUGAAGGUGAGGUCUCGAUUGCAGUAGUUAACAUUCGUUUCAAGGGUAAACAUCAUUUUUUAUCUGGCGUCAAAAAUGUCAACGUUCGUCCCGAAAAAGCAGCAUUUGCGGGAAGUUAUGCUUCAUUAUUAUAUUUCGAAGAAAAGUGCCGCUGAAACGUGUCGUAUAUUGAGCAAUAUUUACGGUGAUCACGCUCCGUCUAAUACAACUUGUAAAGAGUGGUUUCGACGAUUCCAAAGUGGCGAUUUUGACGUGAGUGAUAAAGAACGCGAAGGGGCACCGAAAAAAUUCGAAGAUGCACAACUGCAAGAAUUAUUGGAUGAAGAUGCAUGUCGAACCCUAGAUGAUUUGUCCAAAGAGUUGGAUGUUGACAGAUCGGCCGGAAUGGGACGGUAGACAUGAUAAACUCAUUUCGCUGCAUGACAACGCUAGGUCACACGUUGCUCAAUCUGUCAAAAAAUAUUUGGAAGGAGUGAAUUGGGAAAUCUUGCCCCACCCGCCGUAUUCCCCAGACAUUGCACCUUCGGAUUACCAUCUAUUCCGAUCUAUGCAGUCAGCCCUUACUGGAGAGCGGUUCACUUCUUACGAAAGUAUCGAAAAAUGGCUCAAUGAAUGGAUCGAGUCGAAAGAACCUGGUUUUUUUCUCUGAGGAAUCCGUAUACUGCCUGAAAGAUGGGGAAAAGUUGUCGCUUCCAAUGGUGCAUACUUCGCAUAAUAUCAUUAUGUAAUAUUUCAUUGUUUAAAUAAAUAUUAACUUUGUUUAAAAAAGGACGGAAACUUAUUCCCAUACCUACUUUCCUAUCAGGAUAGCGUCUGUCUGGAAAUCUUUCAGCAUAAAGCUUUCUGCUGCCGAGUAAUUAUUCCUGGCCUCAUCCAAAAUGUGAAUCAUGUCCACAAUUUUAUUUGGUGGAUACGCAGCCAUAAUUAUAAAGAAAAAGAAAGCGCCAAAAUACCAAAAAUUCCUGUCUUAUCAAAAAAAAAUCAAUGGAUAAUAAUAUGCGUCUGUCUGAGACUUCGCCAAAAUACCAAAAGUUGCCCAAUUCAUUGAUUAUCAGGCAAUACUGGAUCUCGCCUUGACUGGCUGGAUCAUGCUCGGAUCUUGCCUUGACUGGCUGGAUCAUGCUCGGAUCUUGUCUUGACUGGCUGAAUCAUUGUUUUGGAAAGCUCUCGAGGUCAGCUAUAAGAAUGUGUAAUAAAAAAUAAGGGGUGCCAUUUAAAAAAAUUGAGGUAACCUUCACAUGACUUUCAAAUGACUUUUCAAGGUCAAAUCAAUGGUACCAUCUUAUGGCCCCCUGGAAACAUACAAAACAUGUCUGAACCGUCUCUAAAAUAAAAAA